UACAGAGGUCUCGAGCGUUGUUCGGAUUCAUUGGGCGUAAAGGGUGCGUAGGUGGCGCUGUAAGUCGGGGGUGAAAUCCUGAGGCUUAACCUCGGAACUGCAUUCGAUACUGCGGUGCUUGAGGACUGGAGAGGAGACUGGAAUUCAUGGUGUAGCAGUGAAAUGCGUAGAGAUCAUGAGGAAGACCAGUGGCGAAGGCGGGUCUCUGGACAGUUCCUGACACUGAGGCACGAAGGCCAGGGGAGCAAACGGG
RNAcentral lists this ribosomal RNA (253 nucleotides) under uncultured bacterium. RNAcentral's name for it is "partial 16S ribosomal RNA". It matches the Rfam family "Bacterial small subunit ribosomal RNA", at positions 524 to 776 of the family's 1533-position model. The record is from RNAcentral.